Molecule: long non-coding RNA, 674 nt
Organism: Neopelma chrysocephalum (saffron-crested tyrant-manakin)
Lineage: Eukaryota; Metazoa; Chordata; Aves; Passeriformes; Pipridae
Exons: 5
Source: RefSeq, a predicted model, not a curated record
UCCCCCGGGACCGCGUUGCCUCGGCGACAUCAGGCGGGCAACGCCGGCGGAUUAAAUCGACUCAGAGCAGCUGCCCCCUGAAAAACAGGACAGCCCUGGCCUCGGGGAGCAUGGGAGCCCAGAGGUUCAUCUCACCAGAGCCUGGGAAUGCAGAACAGCCAUGUGACUAAUGAGAUUAGCAGCUCUGUUAGCAAGAAAAACUAGACACGAAAAUCAAGAUGAGCAUCUUCCAUGGACACCUCACUUCAAGAUCUUACCAUUAUUCCAAGCAAAUCUUUAGCCGACCUUCUCCACCUGCCCCUGUACCCAGAAUGGGAGCGUGGGAUGAAGCAAGGGGAGAGGUCAGCACAGACCUUUGGGAAGGGAAGGGCUGGUCUCCCAAACCAGCAGGCAGCUCUGGCAUCUCUGAAUGUGCUCACACUGCUCUUCCCAGCUCCCAGGGAGGUUAGGAGCUCAGCAGGAUGUCUUUGACAGGGCAGCUGGAAUGGGCAGCUUUAAGCAUCAGUGUCUGGAAUUGCAAGAAAGAAGAGGCACAUCUGUCCUCCCAAGAGGUGUCAGUAUUUCUGAAACAUUGCUUGAGACAUGCUUCUUCCUAGACAGAAUUUUCCAUCACUGCCCUCCAUUCCCUGGAGCACCACACUGAGUGUGGCUAUGACAUGCUGACAUGGAACUUA